RNAcentral lists this ribosomal RNA (253 nucleotides) under uncultured bacterium. Its description in RNAcentral is "partial 16S ribosomal RNA". It matches the Rfam family "Bacterial small subunit ribosomal RNA", at positions 524 to 776 of the family's 1533-position model. The record is from RNAcentral. RNAcentral also lists the same sequence under 1 other name.
UACGGGGGGGGCAAGCGUUGUUCGGAAUUACUGGGCGUAAAGGGCGCGUAGGCGGCUUUAUAAGUCGGGGGUGAAAGCCUGUGGCUCAACCACAGAAUUGCCUUCGAUACUGUAGAGCUUGAGACCGGAAGAGGUAAGUGGAACUGCGAGUGUAGAGGUGAAAUUCGUAGAUAUUCGCAAGAACACCAGUGGCGAAGGCGGCUUACUGGUCCGGUUCUGACGCUGAGGCGCGAAAGCGUGGGGAGCAAACAGG